UACGGAGGGUGCAAGCGUUAAUCGGAAUUAUUGGGCGUAAAGAGCUCGUAGGCGGUUUGUCGCGUCUGCUGUGAAAACCCGCGGCUCAACCUCGGGCCUGCAGUGGGUACGGGCAGACUAGAGUGCGGUAGGGGAGAUUGGAAUUCCUGGUGUAGCGGUGGAAUGCGCAGAUAUCAGGAGGAACACCAAUGGCGAAGGCAGAUCUCUGGGCCGUAACUGACGCUGAGGAGCGAAAGCAUGGGGAGCGAACAGG
Molecule: ribosomal RNA, 253 nt
Filed under: uncultured bacterium
Lineage: Bacteria
Description: partial 16S ribosomal RNA
Rfam family: Bacterial small subunit ribosomal RNA
Source: RNAcentral